AAUAUCUGUGUGUCCCCCGAGCCUGACCCUUCCACUUUUUGAACAUUUGGGUUGCCCAUAAAUUGGAGUUGCCCUCUCGGUUCUUUAUCAUCAUUUGUGCUCUACGAGACAAAGCCUUUUUCAAAGCAAAGCAUUCAUUCUUCUCACUCAAUUUCUUACCUUAUUCUCUCUGUCGGUUAUGGCUGGGAAUUCAGCAAGCAAUAAUGGAAACCAGGAUGUGGUUUUAAAUGUUAAUGCUGAAGCCCCUAAAAAGCGUGAAGUAAUCAAAGAAACUGAAGACUGCGUGCCUCUUCUGAAGAAGUUUGUAGCAGAGCUGGUGGGGACCUACUUCUUGGUAUUUGCAGGGUGUGCUGCCAUUAUAGUGAACCUUAGCAAUGAUAAGGUGGUGACACUUCCCGGGAUUGCCAUGGUUUGGGGACUGGCUGUUAUGGUUUUGGUUCUAUCUAUUGGCCAUAUCUCUGGUGCUCAUCUCAACCCAGCUGUUACCCUUGCUCAUGCUACCACCAAAAGAUUCUCCUUCAAGCAGGUACCAGCUUAUUUACUUGCUCAAUUUGUUGGAGCCAUACUUGCAAGUGGAACUCUCAGACUCAUAUUUACUGGCAAGGAGAAUCAUUUUCCAGGAACACUUGCAUCUGGUUCUGAGCUGCAAGCUUUUGUGUUUGAAUUCAUUUCCACUUUCCAUCUCAUGUUUGCAAUUUCGGGAGUAUCCACAGACAACAGAGCUAUUGGUGAAAUGGCUGGACUUGCAAUUGGGGCUACGAUACUGCUAAAUGUGAUAAUUGCCGGACCAAUCACUGGAGCAUCGAUGAAUCCAGCAAGAAGCUUAGGACCUGCUAUUGUGCACAGCGAGUACAAAGGAAUAUGGAUAUAUUUGGUGUCACCAGUUCUAGGUGCUGUGGCGGGUACAUGGUCGUAUAAUUUCAUCAGGUACACCAACUACACUUUACAUCAGAAACCAAGAGCCCCUCAUUCCUAAGCGGAGGAGCUAAGUCUGGUAGCACCAAGUCUCAAGCCCAAUCAGUUAGGCUCAAGAGGACAAUAAAGUUAUCUAGUUUCUAGAGGAUUAUGUUUAAGGCCCAUUCGGUUAUGUUAUUUUGUCUUGUGUGAUUUUAUUUUACUAUCCAGAAUAUUCUACUUAAUGGAUGAUUGUCACAUGUAUGGUCAAUGGUCAUCCUUAUCUUAGGAAAUAUGGGCCUAUGUAGUGUAUGUUUAUUAUCUUUUUGAAAAUAAGAUGAAAAUUGAGGUAAAGCUCAGCCAAGAUUUCUAUCUUA
Lotus japonicus is the source of this 1271-nucleotide RNA transcript. It is a transcript of the gene named nodulin-26-like, with no coding region annotated. NCBI's taxonomy places the organism in Eukaryota, Viridiplantae, Streptophyta, Magnoliopsida, Fabales, Fabaceae. The record is from RefSeq and is a predicted model, not a curated record. The transcript has 5 exons.